This is a long non-coding RNA of Arachis stenosperma, 669 nucleotides long. RefSeq lists it as uncharacterized. The record is from RefSeq and is a predicted model, not a curated record. The transcript is spliced from 2 exons. Lineage: Eukaryota; Viridiplantae; Streptophyta; Magnoliopsida; Fabales; Fabaceae.
GAGAAGUUAUAUUGAGGGUAUUCCAUACCUCAAAGAAAUGAUGACAGUGGAUGAUUUUAUUCUUGAAAGGAGUAGUGACUGAUGCAGGCAGCCAUGUACAAAGAGACCUGAUGCCUCCAGGUGUUAAAAUUAUUAUCAACCAAUUUAUCUGCAAUUGAUGAUAUGCCUUUUUUGGAUGAAGAUGAGUCUGAGAGUGUGAUGGACAUGAUGAUGAAGAAAAGAAGGAUCAAAUUUGAUUGAAACGGAAGGCAGAAAAGAGAAAAAAAAAUUGGAAAGGAUCAAGGAACAAGAGUGAUGAUCUUCAGACUCUUGGUACGCAUGACAACAAACCAGAUAUGAACUAUAUUCAACAAUGAAAUGAAUUCAGUUCAGAGAGCUUCAAGCACAGCAGAAGAAUGAAAUAGAGAAAGAAAAUUGGAGAAAACAUGCAUUGCAAGAAAGUGAAUGAAUUAGAGAAAUUAUGAUUUCAUUCACUGAUCACACGAUACACUGAUAUCCUAUAUAUACAGAGAGUAAUGCUCACUGCAAUUGAGCCUAAUGCAGUCCAAUUACAGGUAGCAAAACAGAUUUAGACUAAGUCAACUUUAGUUAUAAAAAACUCUAUAACUAACUUAACUAACUUACUCACUUAUAGAUCCUGAUAAUGAAGCAACAGCAAUUUUAAUUUUA